AGUGAACGCUGGCGGUAGGCCUAACACAUGCAAGUCGAACGGCCGCACAGUAAGAGCUUGCUCUUAAGGGUGGCGAGUGGCGGACGGGUGAGGCAUACAUCGGCAUCUUCUUUUUCGUGGGGGAUUUCGUAGGGCCACUUACGCUAAUAGCGCAUACGAUCUACGGGUGAAUUCAGGGGAUCAUCGCACUCUUCCUGUCACUUUUAGCCGAAGUCGCAUUAGCUAGUUGGCGAGGUAAAGGCCCACCAAGGCGACGAACCGUAGCAGAUCUGAGAGGAUGAUCGGCCACACUGGAACUGAGACACGGUCCAGACUCCUACGGGAGGCAGCAGUAGGGAAUCUUGGGCAAUGGGCGCAAGCCUGAUGCAGCCAUACCGCGUGAGUGAAGAAGGUCUUCGGAUUGUAAAGCCCUUUUAUUGGGAAAGAAAAGCAGUAGAUGAAACUCCCGCUGUUCUGACGGUACCCAAAGAAUAAGCCCCGGCUAACUUCGUG
RNAcentral lists this ribosomal RNA (492 nucleotides) under uncultured bacterium. Its description in RNAcentral is "partial 16S ribosomal RNA". It matches the Rfam family "Bacterial small subunit ribosomal RNA", at positions 29 to 507 of the family's 1533-position model. The record is from RNAcentral.